AGAGUUUGAUCAUGGCUCAGAACGAACGCUGGCGGAAUGCUUUACACAUGCAAGUCGAACGAGUACUUUUUACGAGUGGCGAACGGGUGAGUAACGCGUGGGAACCUACCUUGAGGUAAAGAAUAACUGCAGGAAACUGUAGCUAAUGCUUUAUGUGCCCUAAGGGGGAAAGAUUUAUCGCCUUUUGAGGGGCCCGCGUCAGAUUAGCUUGUUGGUGAGGUAAUGGCUCACCAAGGCUAUGAUCUGUAGCUGGUUUGAGAGGAUGAUCAGCCACAUUGGGACUGAGACACGGCCCAGACUCCUACGGGAGGCAGCAGUGGGGAAUCUUGGACAAUGGGGGAAACCCUGAUCCAGCAAUUCCGCGUGAAUGAUGAAGGCCUUAGGGUUGUAAAAUUCUUUUAGUAAGGAAGAUGAUGACGGUACUUACAGAAAAAGCUCCGGCUAACUCCGUGCCAGCAGCCGCGGUAAUACGGAGGGGGCAAGCGUUGUUCGGAAUUACUGGGCGUAAAGAGCGAGCAGGUGGUUCAUUAAGUCAAUUGUGAAAGCUCAAGGCUUAACCUUGAAAUUGCUUUUGAUACUGAUGGACUAGAGUUUGGGAGAGGAUAGUGGAAUUCUAAGUGUAGAAGUGAAAUUCGUAGAUAUUUAGAGGAACACCGACAGCGAAGGCAACUAUCUGGCCCUUUACUGACACUCAGAAGCGAAAGCUUGGGUAGCAAACAGGAUUAGAUACCCUGGUAGUCCAUGCUGUAAACGAUGAGUGCUAGAUGUUAGAAGUUUUACUUUUAGUAUCGAAGCUAACGCGUUAAGCACUCCGCCUGGGGAGUACGGCCGCAAGGCUAAAACUCAAAUGAAUUGACGGGGACCCGCACAAGCAGUGGAGCAUGUGGUUUAAUUCGACGCUACGCGAAGAACCUUACCAGCUCUUGACAUGCUAAGUUUUGAAUUUAAGAGAUUAAAUUCUUCAGUUCGGCUGGGCUUAGUACAGGUGCUGCAUGGCUGUCGUCAGCUCGUGUCGUGAGAUGUUCGGUUAAGUCCGGCAACGAGCGCAACCCUCAUCUUCAGUUACUAACAGGUUAAGCUGAGGACUCUGGAGAAACUGCCGUUGGAAAAGCGGAGGAAGGCGAGGAUGACGUCAAGUCCUCAUGGCCCUUAUGGGCUGGGCUACACACGUGCUACAAUGGUAAUUACAAUAGGUCGCAAAAUGGCAACAUUAAGCUAAUCCUCAAAAAUUAUCUUAGUUCGAAUUGUUCUCUGAAACUCGAGAGCAUGAAGUUGGAAU
Molecule: ribosomal RNA, 1279 nt
Filed under: marine metagenome
Description: bacterial SSU rRNA
Rfam family: Bacterial small subunit ribosomal RNA
Source: RNAcentral